This is a small nucleolar RNA of Tachyglossus aculeatus (Australian echidna), 138 nucleotides long. NCBI's taxonomy places the organism in Eukaryota, Metazoa, Chordata, Mammalia, Monotremata, Tachyglossidae. The record is from RefSeq and is a predicted model, not a curated record.
GCCCUAUUAGGGUCGCGCCUGGAGAGUUUCCAGUCCUCUACCAGUCUCGACUACGGGAGGGAGAGUCAAGCAGAGGCAUGUGCAUUUCAUUCCUAGCUUGGGCAGUGGCUGGCGAGUGGAAGGCGAUCCGCUACAAGU